RNAcentral lists this long non-coding RNA (983 nucleotides) under Homo sapiens (human). RNAcentral's name for it is "non-protein coding lnc-HMGB2-3:6". The record is from RNAcentral. Lineage: Eukaryota; Metazoa; Chordata; Mammalia; Primates; Hominidae.
CUCGGCUACACCUUUCCCCGGGCUCUUCCCUCCGCUCCUCCCCGUGGCCCCCUCCCCUCUGGCGGCCACCGCAGAGCUCCGACUGACCCGUGUGCCUCGCUCUGCCAGGCUGCCUUCCUCUCUACCUGCCCCCUUCCAGAUCCGCAGUCCCCUGCUCUCCACGCGAGCCCCCUUCACAGUCCCUGCUACCUUGUAACUAACUUGCACUUUUCCCGAGUCCGGUUCUUAGCCUUUGCCCUGCAGCUCAGCUCCUUAAAGCUUUCAGAUCCCCAAACUUUUAUUGUAAUUAUGGACAAUAACUCCGUCCUUAACGCCUGUGCCCUCCGGGAUCCCGUGGCCCGCCGCCCCCUCCGUUGGACCUGGAGUCGCUCUCGUCUGCACCUCUCCCUUAGACCCACUUCCCUGAGCCCCUUGUCGAGAGGCUUUCAGGAAGCCAACCAGGAAGUGGGACUACCGCUGCUGCUGCAGCAGCUCCACGUGGCUGAUUUAUAGCUGAAGGGUUUUUUUUUUUCCUUCUUAUUGAUUGUUCUUGCUUUUUCACACGGCUCCUUAAGGUGGUGAAUUUGUAACCGAAAGGCCCAGGUGAGAUGUGCAAAUAUCACUGGAUUGGAGGAGCUCACUUGGAAAGCCAGUAUUCCUCCUGAGCUAAUGAAAAGAAAGGCUGUCGUCUUAUGCCAAAAGCAAUACCAACCUUGUUCACGGGCUAGAUCUAGAGUGUGUAAUUCACGAAGUAUGAAUCUGCUGGGUAAUGUGAUAUGAAAAGCGAAUGCACCAUUUCUUGGUGAUGAUUCAGGUCAGCGUUGGGACCCAGGAAUCUCCUGUUAAUCAGUACCCUGGUGAUUUUGAUCCAGGUAAUCUGGGCACCACCUUUGGAGAAACACUGAAAGGAAGCAAGGUUGCGGGGGGUGGUUGGGAAAAGUCUUAUAUGGAUAUCUUUGGAAGACAGAAAUAGGCUCAUUUAUGGACUCAACUUGAACUGUUCA